Molecule: long non-coding RNA, 1249 nt
Organism: Canis lupus familiaris (dog)
Lineage: Eukaryota; Metazoa; Chordata; Mammalia; Carnivora; Canidae
Exons: 4
Source: RefSeq, a predicted model, not a curated record
AAGUAACUAGAGACCAUACCUAAGAUGAUUUUUUCCAUAGUUGGGUAAAUGAAUGUUCUUUUCGUAUAGCUCAUUCAGGUAGAGCUGCUUUAAUAUAGGUUUUCUUUUUCAACCACUCAUCCAUACCCUGUAUUGUAAAAUUUCUUUAAAAUUCCUUUUUAGUGCUUUCCCUCUCUCUCUUAAGACAAACAACCAAGAAUUUGCUAUGGCUCAAGUGGUGAGACUUAAAGAUUAAAGCCAUCCUUGGGGUUAGAAUGUGCAUGUACUCUAAUAUACAAAAGAAAAGAAUUAUGAAAUAAGUCACUGUUCUGAUUGUGAAGAAUACAUUAAAAUAAACAAAGAGGAAGAAAAUAAUAGUACCGGGAGAUAUUAUGCUGGCUGCUGGGCUGACCUUCUACUAUACAAUGUCAACAGGUUUGACAACCAUACAAUGUCAACUAUCUAGGCUGUCAACAGAUUUUCUCAGAAGACAGAGAUUUGUCUUUUGGAGUAAGGCAAAGACCAAAACAAGAAACUGAAAAGCUGAGGUACACAGGUCUCCUCUGAGUAUUUAAAGCGGACAGUGAUUCGCAUCUUACAAGGCCAGGAAUCUUUGAAAGUAACUUCAGAAAAAUCUGAAAGCUACCUGAAGCUCCAGCGACAAAUAUAGAACUGCACUGCCCUCCAGAGGUGACUCUUUGGCAAAUACUUGUCAUCAGCUAAGGAAAAGACCAAGGAAUUAUGCUAAUGUUGCACUGGUGUACUCCAGUCUCUCUAGAAAACUUUUAUGAAGAGUGUGUAAGAACUUAAAACAUCUAAUAUUAGAUGUUUGCUGCCGUGUUUAGAACAUAAAUAUUAUUCUACAUGAGACUUUAAGAGAAACAAGACAGAACAAUUAACUAGUCUUUGGAAAAGAUUCAACUCUAAUGCAUGCCGGGGGCCAGCAGGGGGAGUAAAACCCCCAAAAUAUGAAUAACAGAGAAGAAAAAUGCUAAAUGGAGUUACAGGUGGGACAACCUGGAAAGAAUCAGUCACCCAAUCAAAAGAGGAGGAUGGAAAGAUUCUAUAAGGCCUUAACCUAGAGAUAAAAUGAUUUUGAACUAUAUCUCAUCCACCUGGUGAAAAGUUCACCUCUUUCUACAUAUAUUCCAGACGGCCAAAUAAACUAAAGGAAUUUCCUCAUCAGUCCACAGACCUCAAAACCUUGUCUUUUUUUUCAUCUCCUGUUAAUUAAUAAAGAUCACAAACUGCCCUACUGCUAGCAGAUAGC